UGGGUCUGUGACAGCCGCCGGCGCAUGAGUCACGGGUGAUGAAGGAUACGUGUCUGGAACUCUGAGGUCCAG
Molecule: small nucleolar RNA, 72 nt
Organism: Mustela erminea (ermine)
Lineage: Eukaryota; Metazoa; Chordata; Mammalia; Carnivora; Mustelidae
Product: small nucleolar RNA SNORD113/SNORD114 family
Exons: 1
Source: RefSeq, a predicted model, not a curated record